AUUGAACGCUGGCGGCAGGCCUAACACAUGCAAGUCGAACGGUAACAGGAAACAGCUUGCUGUUUCGCUGACGAGUGGCGGACGGGUGAGUAAUGUCUGGGAAACUGCCUGAUGGAGGGGGAUAACUACUGGAAACGGUAGCUAAUACCGCAUAACGUCGCAAGACCAAAGAGGGGGACCUUCGGGCCUCUUGCCAUCGGAUGUGCCCAGAUGGGAUUAGCUAGUAGGUGGGGUAACGGCUCACCUAGGCGACGAUCCCUAGCUGGACUGAGAGGAUGACCAGCCACACUGGAACUGAGACACGGUCCAGACUCCUACGGGAGGCAGCAGUGGGGAAUAUUGCACAAUGGGCGCAAGCCUGAUGCAGCCAUGCCGCGUGUAUGAAGAAGGCCUUCGGGUUGUAAAGUACUUUCAGCGGGGAGGAAGGGAGUAAAGUUAAUACCUUUACUCAUUGACGUUACCCGCAGAAGAAGCACCGGCUAACUCCGUG
Molecule: ribosomal RNA, 490 nt
Filed under: uncultured bacterium
Lineage: Bacteria
Description: partial 16S ribosomal RNA
Rfam family: Bacterial small subunit ribosomal RNA
Source: RNAcentral